CCCCACUCACACUCUGUCUCUCUCAAAAAUGAAUAAACAUUAAAAUAAAUUAAAAAUGAAUAAAAAUAAAAAAGAGAAAGAAAAAACCCUUCAGUCAUUAAAUAAAUGGGUGGGGAAGUUUUAGAGACAUGAGUCAGGGUAGAGAAAAGGGAAAAAGUAAUGACGGGCAAACAGCCUGACACCUGUGGACUAAUCAAGGGCCUACAAAUAUUUCAGACCUACGUAUAGGCUUUAAGAUACGAGAACUACAAUAGGAAAAUUAACAUUUAUAAUCCAGUGUCUCUAAAAAUCAAUUUGGUCAGUUUGAUUCUCAAUAGUGUUUUAUGUAGAUAUAUAAAAAUAAUUUUGAUGUAGGCUGCGCUUUUUAUUGCAUUUGAUUUUAAGUGUGCUGAAGGCUUCAUAAGUCCUGAAAGUUUAUUUUGGUCUUAAAAUAGCACUGCCCUUCCUUCAUUUCCUCUCUUCCUUCUGUUUUGUCUUCUUCAUUCUCACACUUCUGAACUGGAAAUAGUCUUCUACACCAAGGAUCUUGGCCUCUGCCCUCCACAUGGUUCUGAACCUCUGAACCUCCACGUGGUUCAGCAUACUCAGUCCUCAUUUAACUCCUCGUGAAAGGACUUUUCACUAGGCCCAGUGGCAAUUUUUAGGAAAGACAUGGGAUUCUUUCUGAUUAGAGAUCUGGCCCGUUUCCCCUGGUCUACAGGCCUCAAAAUAAUCAAAUUUUCUCACAAGCUAGCCAAAAUCUAGGUUGCUUUUAGGCAAACUUUGAGACCCAAUACAUUCAAUGCAAAGGGAAAGUUUGAUAUAACAUGAUUAAAUAAAGCAUGUACCCAUUCUUCUUACUUUAGCAAAACCCUGCAAACCCUUCCUAGUAAUUCUUGGGGUAUAGUCCAUAUAGAAAUGGAGACUUCCAAUUUAUCCUUUGAAAAUCAUAGGACAACUAACAGUACUCUUGCAUCAGAAUUUCAUCUGAAACUUCUGACUUUACAGAUAUUAUAUCUUAAUCAUAGGCUUAGGAAGUAUGUGAUUAUGCUUGUUUUUUUUUUUUUUCAGAGCUGCUUCUUUUUGAGGUCAUUAAGUCAAGUUUUAGGACAUCAUUUGGACUUGAGAAUUAUAUGUAAUGCAAUUCUAUUGAAAAGAAAUAUAGGUACCUGAUCCAUGCCUCCUAACUUGAUCUUUGGUUUUGCUGGGUUUUGUUUGAUUCUUUUACCUCAGGUGCACAUAGGGUUUUGGCUUUUUUUUUUUUUAAAGAUUUUAUUUUAAGUAAUCUCUGCACUCAAUGUGGGGCUUGAACUCACAAAGCCAAGAUCAGGAGUUGGAUACUCCACUGACUGAGCCAGCCAGGUGCCCCUCAGGUGCAUAUAAGUGAUAUAAAUAACAGCACUUCUACAUUAGGUUACUUAGCUGGUUAGUGUACUAGAUUUUGAUAUUAUAAAAUAAUAUCAAGAUUAUAUUUCCUAUCCAUUGAUAUCAGGCAUGGCAAUGUAUAAAAGUGACAUAGCCAGUUCAAAGCAGAAGCUUUAAGAGCUGUUGAAUGGUUUCACCAUCUCUUUUUUCCCUCUGCCACAAGACUUUUAUGUUCUGUGUAAGUGCUGCUUCUUCAACCUAGGUCCUGGAAUAAAGGUGGUAUGGAACAGAACAGCUGCCAACUUACAAUGGACAUGGAUAUGAGAAAUAAUUCCUUGUUGUUGAAUGGAGUUCCUGGGCAUGUAAAUGUUCAACCACAGAAGAUAAAACGAAAUAUUUUACAAGAUGGCCUACUCAUUUAAGUUCCUACAAGUAAUUAACAACUGAACUUGGGAACACGCAUCCUCUCCAACACUUGGUAUUUGUAUUGAAUAGCUUCUACUUGCCCCUCCCCAUCAAUUCUGUACCCUUUUCACCCUACUCUAUGCCCCAGAGGCUGACUUGUAUGGAUUUCAUCAAUGUCAGGUAUGUAUAUAACAAAUAUACUUUCCUAAUUUGUACCUUG
Felis catus (domestic cat) is the source of this 1969-nucleotide long non-coding RNA. RefSeq lists it as uncharacterized. The transcript is spliced from 2 exons. Lineage: Eukaryota; Metazoa; Chordata; Mammalia; Carnivora; Felidae. The record is from RefSeq and is a predicted model, not a curated record.